AUUGAACGCUGGCGGAAUGCUUUACACAUGCAAGUCGAGCGGCAGCGCGGGGGCAACCCUGGCGGCGAGCGGCGAACGGGUGAGUAACAUAUCGGAACGUACCCAGUGGUGGGGGAUAACACAUCGAAAGAUGUGCUAAUACCGCAUACGACCUGAGGGUGAAAGGGGGGAUCGCAAGACCUCUCGCCGUUGGAGCGGCCGAUAUCGGAUUAGCUAGUUGGUGAGGUAAAGGCUCACCAAGGCGACGAUCCGUAGCUGGUCUGAGAGGAUGAUCAGCCACACUGGAACUGAGACACGGUCCAGACUCCUACGGGUGGCUG
Molecule: ribosomal RNA, 320 nt
Filed under: uncultured Pseudomonadota bacterium
Lineage: Bacteria; Pseudomonadati; Pseudomonadota
Description: bacterial SSU rRNA
Rfam family: Bacterial small subunit ribosomal RNA
Source: RNAcentral